GUGUGCUCAUGCGUGAAUCAUGCGAGCAAGUAGCGCCUACUGAUAAUACUAACAUAUUUCUUUAAAGUUGUUUGCCGGCUAUCUGCACGUACAGUUUUGUCUCGUAUCUGGGUGUGAACGAGUGUGUUUCUUUCUUUCUUCCUUUCUUUCUUUCUUUUUACAAAGAAUAAUGGCUGACUCCGAUCGUGUUGUGAGCCCCAAGAAGGUAGCUGAAAAGAGCGAAAUUGCUGCAAUAAAAGCUAAAGACAAGACCUCAGGCGGAGACAACAACAGCAUAGAGGAACCAGAACUAGUAAAACAAGCGAUACACACUUCAUUACACACAUUUUCAAUGGUCCAAGUUCCCCAUAACUGUCCUAAAAACAAGCAGAUGGCAAGUGACGGUGUCUGCCGCGAAGUAGUGUAAGGCAGUAUUUAGUACGUACGUAUGUAAGGCGCGUCAGUAAUUAUACUACUGUUCGACGAAUACGACGAUUCUUUUGAGUUCAAUGUAUCCUGUAAAAGAACCCUUAGUCUUAAAGAACCUAUUCAUAUUUUUAACUGACAAAUGUUGCACUCCUUUAGAUCAGAUAACGUAAUCACAUGACGUUGUAACAGUAUUGUUGGGUUGAUUGUGUUUCUUAAUUUAAUCGUAUGUGUAGGUACCUAUAUUGUAUGCACUGUGUUUUUGUAAACAAAUAAAUGUUAAUGAUUUGAGUACUUAUACUUGUGUUUUAAUACGAAUAUAACGAUACGAUUACGCGUCGCAACCAAUUUUGUGUAUCAUCAUAAUCAUCUAAAGAACUAUUUAACUAGGUAAUGGCUGGAUAAUGGGUUUACAUUAAUAUUGACCCCGUGCGAGAUAUGUUAUGCGUAGGUGUUAGUCAUGUUUGAACUGUUAUAAGUAGGAUUUUCGGAGAGGAUCUUUAAUUGUCUCAUUAAAAAUAUUUUUGCUUUAGCAUCCACGCUGUGUCCCCACAUGAUGAUACCGUAUCGUAGCCAUGCAUAUGCAUAAGCACAGUAUGCAGAAUUGCAGAUAGGGCACAUUAUGUGUUAGUGUUGGUUUUGAGUACUUUUAGUCCGUAUGAGAAUUGUGACAGUUUUACUUCGGUGGCGUCUACAUGUUUUUCCAAUUUAAGUGAGAGUCUAGUGUUAUACCUAAUAGUUUAAAUUCUUCUACUUCUUCUAUUUUAAAGUUGUUAGUUAUAUUGUUAAGGUUUACUUUUUUCUUUUGGUAUGGUCUGAAUUAGAUUAUUUUUGUUUUCUUAUUAUUAACUUCCAGGUUCGAUAAUUUGAGAAUUAUACUCUUGAUUAUUUGCAGAACUUCUAAAGAGAAUGGAGAUGUCAUCCGCGAAGAGCACACAUAGAUGGUAUUUUCGGCAAGAAAGAGUAUACAGCCUAUCACGUUGCCUUGUGGUAUUGACCAGUUGGUAGUUAAGGUAUCCGACAGGAUACCUAACCCCACUAUCUUUUAAAAUUUACUUAUACUUUGAGAUCGGUGAAACUACGUAUGAUAGGUUUUAUCCCGGAAUUCUCACGGGAAUGGGAACUAUGCGCUAAAAUCCUGGGCUCUCUAUCUUAAACACGACUGUACAAUAUUCCAUGCAGACGAAGUCGCGAGCAAAAGCUAGUACAUAUACUUAGUCUGGCCAUAAAUACUGUUACACUUAAAAAUAAAAAAAAUAUUACAUUUGAAUUUGGAAUCUGUCAUUUUUAUACGAUUUUGUUAAUAAAAUUGUGUUUUCUCAAUUUGGCGCCAAUACAUUGUACAAUAUUUUGCGAUAUUAAAAUGGAGUGGGGCGAUAAAGAGAACCGAAUCGCUGUGAUUGCAUUACACAAAGUAGGUAUGGAGACAAAUGUAAUUUUUAAAACUCUCCAUACACUUGGUAUUAGUAAAAUGUUUGUGUACGGGGCUAUUAAUAGGUACAAUGAGUCUUCUUCUGUUUGUGACAGAAAAAAAUCUGGCCGGCCACGUAGUGUUCGUACCAAAAAGGUGGUCAAGCAGUAAGGGAAAGAAUUCGAAGAAAUCCUGUCCGAAAGCAAAAUAUUUCAUCUCGGGAAAUGAAGAUAGCACCUAGAACAAUGUCGCGUAUUUUAAGAGAUACUUAAGACUUAGGACUUGCAGCCUAUAAGAGACGCACUGGUCAUUUCUUAACUGAUAAUUUAAAGAAGAAUAGGGUGGUAAAAUCGAAACAACUACUGAAGCUGAAGAUUUAUAGAUAAGAUUUUUUUUUUAAAUUGAGCAACAUUUUAACAAACUAAAUGACUGUAUUUAUGCUCAAAGCUCUAAGGAAGCUUUCCAAUUAAUCGACAGAGUGCAACGUGGACAUUAUCCGACUUCAGUGAUGGUUUGGUGGGGUGUUAGCUAGGAAGGAGUGACUGAGCCAUAUUUUUGUGAAUAAGGUAUUAAAACAUCGGCACAAGUGUAUCAAGAUACCAUUCUUGAGAAGGUAGUUACACAUGCAUCACAACAAGUAAAAAGUAGAUGUACGUCUACGAACAUGUGGUCGAAUCAUUUCACCUGACUGAUGUGACUUGGAUGAAAUAAUGCUCAGGUGAAAUAAGAACACCAAUAAGUGCGAAAAACUCUCCAGUGUAUCGGUGAAUCACGGCGGUGUCUACUGAUAAUGCCUAAUGCAUACCAUAUUUGUUUAAAACUGCUUUCCGGUGGACUGCUCGUACAGUUCUGUUUUGUACUUAGGUGUGAACGAGUGUGUUAACUUACUGACUAACUUAUCCUCGGAUUUCUAUACUAAUUGAUACGAGUAUUAAUAAUGGCUGACUCCGAUGAGAAAUGCGAGGAGGUAUUUGAAGACCAGUUUCAGGAAGUGGACGCGAAAAUGCAGUUCGCCGAGGGUGUAGCCAAGAAUAAUAAAAAAAAAAAGAUUCAACUCGACGAAUCAGUAAAAGACCAAGCUGUACAUGUGAUCCAAUCUCAACAUGGACCGGCAAAAUAGACCAGAUGCUGUCAGACACCCUCGCCCGCUACUCGUCUGUGGAAAGUACUACGUGUCUAAUAUUUUUUAUCUGAUCUUCAUCUCAAUUUACAUCAGUGAAUAGAAAUAGGGUAUCUUUUAAUUGAAUUAAUUUUACACAUUGUAUUAACCACCUACAGAUUGUACUAUUGUUUAUGUAUUUCAAUAUUAUUUUUGUUACAAGUUUUUUUUUAUGGCGGAGAGUAAUAAUAAUUGUAUGUAUUAGUAUUGCCUGCGAUUCAAUUAACCCCUGCACUGAUGUAUAUUAUAUUUAUUAUGAUGUUUAAGAAAAUAUCAUAUAUUUUUACACUAUGUAUAUAUUGUAUUAAUAAAAGAGGACGUUUCAAAAGUUA
Long non-coding RNA from Spodoptera frugiperda (fall armyworm), 3307 nucleotides. RefSeq lists it as uncharacterized. The record is from RefSeq and is a predicted model, not a curated record. The transcript is spliced from 5 exons. Lineage: Eukaryota; Metazoa; Arthropoda; Insecta; Lepidoptera; Noctuidae.